Molecule: ribosomal RNA, 415 nt
Filed under: uncultured bacterium
Lineage: Bacteria
Description: bacterial SSU rRNA
Rfam family: Bacterial small subunit ribosomal RNA
Source: RNAcentral
CCGAAAGGCAGGAGUGCCUGCAAGGGAGCGCGGAGACAGGUGGUGCAUGGCUGUCGUCAGCUCGUGUCGUGAGAUGUUGGGUUAAGUCCCGCAACGAGCGCAACCCUCACCUCUUGUUGCCAUCAGGUCAUGCUGGGCACUCUAGAGGAACUGCCCCGGUCAACGGGGAGGAAGGCGGGGAUGACGUCAAGUCGUCAUGCCCCUUACGUCCUGGGCUACACACGUGCUACAAUGGCCGGUACAAAGGGAUGCCACACCGCGAGGUAGAGCUAAACCCAAAAAGCCGGUCUAAGUUCGGAUUGGAGUCUGCAACUCGACUCAUGAAGGAGGAAUCGCUAGUAAUCGCGUAUCAGCACGACGCGGUGAAUACGUUCCCGGGCCUUGUACACACCGCCCGUCACACCACGAAAGCCAG